This 561-nucleotide ribosomal RNA is filed under the name Neofusicoccum luteum. RNAcentral's name for it is "eukaryotic LSU rRNA". The stretch from base 212 to 365 matches the Rfam family "5.8S ribosomal RNA". The record is from RNAcentral. Lineage: Eukaryota; Fungi; Ascomycota; Dothideomycetes; Botryosphaeriales; Botryosphaeriaceae.
GUUUCCGUAGGUGAACCUGCGGAAGGAUCAUUACCGAGUUGAUUCGAGCUCCGGCUCGACUCUCCCACCCCAUGUGUACCUACCUCUGUUGCUUUGGCGGGCCGCGGUCCUCCGCACCGACCCCCGUUCGGGGGCCGGCCAGCGCCCGCCAGAGGACCACAAAACUCCAGUCAGUAAACGUCGCAGUCUGAGAAACAAGUCAAUAAACUAAAACUUUCAACAACGGAUCUCUUGGUUCUGGCAUCGAUGAAGAACGCAGCGAAAUGCGAUAAGUAAUGUGAAUUGCAGAAUUCAGUGAAUCAUCGAAUCUUUGAACGCACAUUGCGCCCCUUGGUAUUCCGAGGGGCAUGCCUGUUCGAGCGUCAUUUCAACCCUCAAGCUCUGCUUGGUAUUGGGCUCCGUCCUCCGCGGACGCGCCUCGAAGACCUCGGCGGUGGCGUCUUGCCUCAAGCGUAGUAGAAAACACCUCGCUUUGGAGCGCACGGCGUCGCCCGCCGGACGAACCUUUGAAUUUUUCUCAAGGUUGACCUCGGAUCAGGUAGGGAUACCCGCUGAACUUAA